AUGAUCAUCUUUAUUAGAGCAUUGUCCCCAAAAAAGAAAAAAAAAGAAAGGCCAAAAAAAAGGAAAGGCCGAAGAAAAAAACAAAAAAAAGAAAAAAAAGAAAAAAAAAACAAAAAAACAAAAAAAGGGGCAAUGUUACUAUCUCUUUUUCCACACUCGUGCUUCAAAGUAGCACCAUGUCCUUCAUAUAGCGAGUCUCAUAUAUUGUGCUUCAAAGUAGCACCAUGUUCUUCAUAUAGUGAGUCUCAUAUGUUUUCACUAGUAGGAAUUUUUUAUUAUAGAACUUGGCUUGUAUAUUCCUACGAUGGGCUUCCUCAAAUCCCUAGGUCUUCAUGA
RNAcentral lists this ribosomal RNA (336 nucleotides) under Triticum aestivum (bread wheat). Its description in RNAcentral is "partial small subunit ribosomal RNA". The record is from RNAcentral. Lineage: Eukaryota; Viridiplantae; Streptophyta; Magnoliopsida; Poales; Poaceae.